This is a long non-coding RNA of Carassius gibelio (silver crucian carp), 1176 nucleotides long. RefSeq lists it as uncharacterized. NCBI's taxonomy places the organism in Eukaryota, Metazoa, Chordata, Actinopteri, Cypriniformes, Cyprinidae. The transcript is spliced from 3 exons. The record is from RefSeq and is a predicted model, not a curated record.
GCUCGAGUGUUAGUUUUGUGUGACAGCUUUGAAAGCACCUCACAGCACACUCUUACAUCACUAGCUGACUGACUGCAUGUAGGGUAAUUCAAUUAUAACUCGAGGUGCUGUUCACAAGUAACCAUAUGAGUGAACCACAGACAGCAACUGCACAGCACAUACGUGAGCCAUCUCUAAAAAUACCCGCAGCACACAUCCGCUGCCACACUCGGGAGCCUUGCAUUCAGCACAUGCAUUUCUGAAAGCUGCGGAUCGACCAGCCCGCCACCCGAGCACCGGACACCAAGUUCCCUUGCACUCAGCCGGCCGGCAAACAGGAUCAUGUGGCACCGAGGACGAGCACUGGACACUACAGGGUUCAGCACUACACAGAGCACCGUUCAAUAAAUACACCCUCCGGGGCUUCACUUUGCACAAAACCCUGUCGUGUGAUUCUUCAGCCCGUUACAAUAGCUUAAGGAUACAUAUUCAUGUUUAGUAUGUAUGUGUUUGAAUCUUUUUUUGCUUGAAAUGUUUCUGACUAUCAGUUAUUUGUCGAAUGUAUCAUAUUCGUGUUAUAGGAAUCAUGUCCAAAAUUAUACCCUGCAAAAGCGGAUUCGGACCACGUGCUUUAUAAGAUAAAAUAUGAUUUAUAAUACCCCAAGCAAAGACAAUAUCUAAUUGGUCAAGACAACAUUCGAGGUGUGGCCAAAAGGCCAGUUUAAAUACUCAGGACACCAUCAAACUCUGUUUUUAGCUUUUAGCUUGCGUUUAGCUUUUGCUAUCAAUCAUGCUGGUUUUUAGCUUGUAGCUUUGCUUUUAGUCAUGCUUUUAGUCAUCACUGUUAGCGUUCUUUGUGCGCGGUUCAUGCGAGCUUCGGCCUGCACACUUGCUGCUACUUCGCCACGAUGAGAAGAAACACCACCUAGUCUCGUCAAACUACUUCUGUUCUUUUACUUUAGUUUCUUUUCUUUUCUGUUAAGAGUUCCGUGUUCUGAGAUAAGUUUUGUAACACCGUGUCUCCGAGUCUGACCUCGAGUACCUGUUCAACUUCAACCAGCCACACAACUCCGCAUUUUCAGCCAAUGCCCAAUCACGGGCUUCCCAAGACAUCACUUCAACCACUACUGAACUUCCAGCCAAUCAGCAAUAUCGGGAAACCCCCUUUUCAACGACAACAAAGGGAACCCCUUUACA